UUAUGAAAUGUUAAUUUUCUCUUUGAUCUUGCAGCACUUUUGGAUAAAUAUAUUUGGAACAGAAGACCAUGUGUAAAAAAAGAUGAUUCAAACAGCAUAAUGAAAGCACAUCAACACUUCUUUCUAAAGAGAAAUUGAAUAAACAGCAGAAACCAGAAGAAAAGCUUGACUCAGACAUGAACACUACCACUCUACUUGAGGAUACCAGAAAGGAUCAGCAAGUUUAUGGAGGAGAAAAUGUGAAACAUGAAGAUGACUUACUGAGUCAAGCAACACCCAUCAACUGGCGAGUAGAAAUUAUCAGAACAAGCAACACAGGCACUUUAAAUCAUGUCACAAUGAGAAAAAUACCCUCCUCCGCUUCUCUAAAAGAGGAAAACAUUCAUUAAUAAUGAAUCAGGACUCCUGGUGUCAACACCACAAACCCCUUUAAUGCAUACCUUACAGUAAUUGUAACCAGGCCUAACCAUGAGUCAUUAUUGAACAUUUACAGAUGAUUAUUGAUUAUGUGAGCAGUAAAGAUGAUGACAUUACUGUACAUGGUGUCCCAUACAUUUCCAUACACAGGAAAAAUUUAUCUUUUUUUAUCUAAAAAAUAAUGUUGUCAUGGUAACCAUUUGGAAAUCGGGCAGACCUGACACCUACCACAUGUGAUGUAAAUAACAUUAUUAAAUAUUUGCCGUUUACAAACUGAUACUGAUACUUUGUAUUGGAAUUGUGUCAUUGUCAUGCAGAUGAACAACAUUUUGUCUUAUAGAUGUUUUUAAAACAAAAUGUGAGUUGUGGAAACUUACAUGUUCUUAAUGCUCUGGCAAAACAAGAGCAUUCCCUUUGUUUACUAUGAAAUAAGCUAUUAAAUCAAAGGUUACAAA
Non-coding RNA from Nerophis lumbriciformis (worm pipefish), 872 nucleotides. NCBI's taxonomy places the organism in Eukaryota, Metazoa, Chordata, Actinopteri, Syngnathiformes, Syngnathidae. The record is from RefSeq and is a predicted model, not a curated record.